This 997-nucleotide long non-coding RNA is filed under the name Junco hyemalis (dark-eyed junco). Its description in RNAcentral is "lncRNA (ENSJHYG00000003293.1)". Lineage: Eukaryota; Metazoa; Chordata; Aves; Passeriformes; Passerellidae. The record is from RNAcentral.
CAGCUUCUUUCUUAUCUUCCUUUCUGUACUGCAUGUUUUCCUUCUUUCUCUCUCUCAUUUAUCUGCUUCUAAUCUGCAAGAAAAUUAUUUCUGCCUCUGUCUAGCCUGCUCUCCUACAUUACAGAGCUGACCCUACCUCAAUUUGUAGCAUUUAUUCACUGCUCUUUUCUUUUUUUCCUUUUUUUUUUUUUUUUUAAUCUGCCCUUUCUAGCAGCGAGCACUCGGACAUCUGCUUCCCAUCACGGUGUGAAGUGUGAAGCAUCAGGUUUUUGUAGCUGUCCCACUAUUAAGUGAAGGCUGCCCUCCUCACCCUGGCCCGUGUCAAGGCCACUUCCCUGGGCUCUGCACACCUGAUUUGGGCUCUGCUCAUUGCUGGCUCAUUGUGGAAAUGAGAGGUUUAGAAAUGGAAGGAUUGAGGGGAAACCCGGCAUUGACUUCACAGACACAGAAUUGCCAGGGGGUUGGGCAGAGCUGGGGCCACUUUGUGUUCAGAUGGGCCCAUACCACAAGUUUGGGAUCCAGAUUUGGAUUUGGACCUGACGUUUAUCAGAGUUUGGGAACAGCUGAACCCAGCCUCUGAGGUCAGGCUCUGGAGGAAUUAACAGCCUGCUGCAAAGACCUGGAUGGAGUGGAUCUCCCCCACAUUUCAAGGCAUAGGUUGGGGAAAUACAAGGACAUUUUUUGACCUGUCUCUAAGGUAUUUCAAUUUUAAAAUGAAAGACUUUCAGUGAAGUGGGAGGCUGUGAUUAUUGUUGUGCCUAAAGGAUGAAAUUGCAUAUGGGGAUCUGAUUGACUGAGUGCUUUUGGAGAUUGUAACGAGAGACAGGAACUGCCUAAAAUGGUUUCCAGCUUAAAUACUUGUCCAAGGUCAAUAAGAAUAUCUGUGAGAAAGUAUUGAGAUCCCUGAUUUAUUAUCCAGUACUUUUACCACAAAAGAUUUGACUCAAUAUAAUUCUUGCCUUGUUCUAGAAGAGAAUAAAAUACCUUAAUAACACCA